Long non-coding RNA from Ctenopharyngodon idella (grass carp), 2247 nucleotides. RefSeq lists it as uncharacterized. The transcript is spliced from 2 exons. The record is from RefSeq and is a predicted model, not a curated record. NCBI's taxonomy places the organism in Eukaryota, Metazoa, Chordata, Actinopteri, Cypriniformes, Xenocyprididae.
AAACAUGUUGCUCGAAGAAGCCCAACGAUUCUGAUGUGGCUUUUUUGGAACUAUUUUUGUUGUAGGAACAAAAACAGACUACUGUGCCUAAAAUCAUACAGCGACGAAAGGGGGUCAGAACCCGUGACAGAGUUGAAAAAGAACUCUCGCAUGAUGCUGAGGACACCCCAAUGACAAGAGCAGUCACAUACAAUUUGUGCAGCUCUGGGAAUGCAUCUUUGUAGCUUUGCAAGUGUUUGCACAAAGCUGACAAGUCUGUUUCAACAGGAAAUCGUUUGCUAAGCAUAGGUUUGGCAACAAGUAUUUCAUUUGCCGGACUUACUUUAUCUGCAGUGCCAGCAAGCAAAUGUAGAGGGCUCAACAAUGUGGCAUCUAGAAAUUCACUAGACGUUGGCACAAGGCAAGAUAGAGCUUUCAUCAAGUCAACGUUUUUUUUUGGAAUAUCUAUUUUCCAUUUCAACAAUGGCCCUGUCAAGAAUGGAAAGCAAGGAUCUCUUCAGAGACUGACUGGGGAGUAUUGCAGAAUUAUCGCAGUCGGUGUGGCCCACUGUGGAAUACUCAACACUGUCAUCGAGUUGUGUAUUCAGUGUUCUUCUUCUCUUGGAAGGGUGUAAAUCACCACAUGCCUGAAACUCAUCCCUGUGAAUUGCGUUUACACAUGUCCACUGUCUGAGACUGGAGAAUAGUAUUAGCUGGUUUCAGGACACCAAGUACCCGGACUAGAAAUUUCCCUGUUUCAAAAAAAAUUGUGCCUUUUGAUUUGGACUAAAAGGCCUGCUGCCUCGGUGCUCAGAUCAGUGUUGGCAAAAUCGUCCUCUGCAAUGUCUGUUGCAAUGUCUUCAUUCUCAAUAAUGCACCUUGUGACAUCAUAAUGUCUUGUCCAUCGAAUUUCCAAUAAUCGUUUAAGACAAGGGCCAUCAUACUUCUCAGCCACGUAGUGGUGAUGGAAAAAGUUGUACAGGGAACUGGCAAAGUCAAAAAACUUUUUUCCACAUGGAUCACACUGGAUGUCAUGCACAACUGCUAAAUGUAGCUGGUGGUUAUAACUAUCAAUGUAAGGUAUAUACCGACCAAGCUUGUUUUGCAGCAGGGCUUGCACACCACCUCGUACCCCACUCAUCACUGAGGCUCCAUCAUAGCACUGACUAACUAUGUUGUCAGCAUUGUAGCCAGCAGCUAAGAGUAUCAGUAUUUCAGUGGAAAUGUAUUCAGCAUCUAGUUGAUGCAAGUCAAGCAACCCAAUCAAAUGCUCCUCUGGCAAGGAACUGCACACAAACCUAAUCAUUACAGACAAGAUUUCCACAUUACACUUGUCUCAUGUCCCAUCACUUUUAAGGCAAAAUCCUGCUGAGUCAGCAUCUGUGUAUCUCUGCACUUAAUCUCAGAAAGCACCAUAUCAGCCAGUGUUUCAAUGAUUUCAUUCUGAAUGUCAUUAGAAGUAUACUUUGCAUGUUUUGGUAUACCCUUUACUAUAUCGGCCAGAAAUGGACCUUUACUAAGGUGUAUUCAAACAAGUUAAGGAAGAGGCCUGCAGAUGUAUCAUUGUUUGACGUUUCUGUGGUUCUACGCAGCGCUUGUUCGUUUACACAGAGAAAUUUAACCACACCUCCGAUGCUUUUGACAUAAUAUCUGUUUUUUUUCCAACUGCGUUUUUCCCACUAGCAUGCAGUCUAUGGUUUCACCAGAUGCCUCCCGACAUUUUAAUUCAGACCAGGCUGCCAUAGACUGCACGUGACAGUGGCUGGAUGCAUGUUUAUGCAUAGCCCUGUCACGUUCCAGUGCUGCUUGCCAAUUGGUAUAACCAUGCGAGGUAAAAACGACAUCUCUCUCGUUAGCGACACCGAACUUACGACAGGGAAAACAGAAGCAUGCGUCCGGCAAAAUGCACGUUUGGGGUAGCUAUUUAAUAUUGGCUGGGACGGCGCAUAUAAAUUUAGGUCCAGUAUUUCGCUGCCACCGGCAAUGUGAUUCUGACGGGCCGAGGUGGAGGGAGAGGGAGACGGAUUCAUUUCUGCACCGGGAGCUGGGGAAGAUGCAGUUUGUGAAACAACAGCCACUGCUGCCAGAGCCAUUAGCAGACUUCCUUAUAGGCACCAAAAACCUAUGCAUUGCACGCAAAUACUUGUUAACUGCUUGUUAAUGUUAUCGUUCGUGUUGUGUCUCUGUCAGAAUCUGCGCAACUGAAGGGGAAUCUUGAGUGUGGAGUGUAGUAAGUUGCUUUCAGCUAAUAAAAACAGAGAAAAAUAC